RNAcentral lists this transfer RNA (22 nucleotides) under Spirinchus lanceolatus. RNAcentral's name for it is "partial tRNA-Phe". The record is from RNAcentral. Lineage: Eukaryota; Metazoa; Chordata; Actinopteri; Osmeriformes; Osmeridae.
GCUAGCGUAGCUUAAUUAAAGC